Molecule: ribosomal RNA, 913 nt
Filed under: Raoultella sp.
Lineage: Bacteria; Pseudomonadati; Pseudomonadota; Gammaproteobacteria; Enterobacterales; Enterobacteriaceae
Description: bacterial SSU rRNA
Source: RNAcentral
AUGGGAUUAGCUAGUAGGUGGGGUAAUGGCUCACCUAGGCGACGAUCCCUAGCUGGUCUGAGAGGAUGACCAGCCACACUGGAACUGAGACACGGUCCAGACUCCUACGGGAGGCAGCAGUGGGGAAUAUUGCACAAUGGGCGCAAGCCUGAUGCAGCCAUGCCGCGUGUAUGAAGAAGGCCUUCGGGUUGUAAAGUACUUUCAGCGAGGAGGAAGGCAUUAANGKUUAAUAACCUUAGUGAUUGACGUUACUCGCAGAAGAAGCACCGGYUAAYUCCGUGCCAGCAGCCCGCGGUAAUACGGAGGGUGCAAGCGUUUAWUCGGAAUUACUGGGCGUAAAGCGCACGCCAGGCGGUUUGUUAAGUCAGAUGUGAAAUCCCCCGGGCUCAACCUGGGNAACUGCAUUUGAAACUGGCAAGCUUGAGUCUUGUAGAGGGGGGGUAGAAUUCCAGGUGUAGCGGUGAAAUGCGUAGAGAUCUGGAGGAAUACCGGUGGCGAAGGCGGCCCCCUGGACAAAGACUGACGCUCAGGUGCGAAAGCGUGGGGAGCAAACAGGAUUAGAUACCCUGGUAGUCCACGCUGUAAACGAUGUCGACUUGGAGGUUGUUCCCUUGAGGAGUGGCUUCCGGAGCUAACGCGUUAAGUCGACCGCCUGGGGAGUACGGGCCGCAAGGUUAAAACUCAAAUGAAUUGACGGGGGGCCCGCACAAGCGGUGGAGCAUGUGGUUUAAUUCGAUGCAACGCGAAGAACCUUACCUACUCUUGACAUCCAGAGAACUUAGCAGAGAUGCUUUGGUGCCUUCGGGAACUCUGAGACAGGUGCUGCAUGGCUGUCGUCAGCUCGUGUUGUGAAAUGUUGGGUUAAGUCCCGCAACGAGCGCAACCCUUAUCCUUUGUUGCCAGCGGUUCGGUC